This 1289-nucleotide ribosomal RNA is filed under the name metagenome. RNAcentral's name for it is "bacterial LSU rRNA". It matches the Rfam family "Bacterial large subunit ribosomal RNA", at positions 1655 to 2925 of the family's 2925-position model. The record is from RNAcentral.
UUACACAGGUGAUCAGGUAGAGAAUACCAAGGCGAUCGAGUGAACCAUGGUUAAGGAACUCGGCAAAAUGCCCCCGUAACUUCGGGAGAAGGGGGGCCGGAUGCGUUACAUGGCUUGCCCAUGGAAGCGUUGAUGGCCGCAGAGACCAGGCCCAAGCGACUGUUUACUAAAAACACAGGUCCGUGCGAAGAAGUAAUUCGAUGUAUACGGACUGACGCCUGCCCGGUGCUGGAACGUUAAGGGGACAGGUUAGCUGGUUUAGGCCGGCGAAGCCUUGAACUUAAGCGCCAGUAAACGGCGGUGGUAACUAUAACCAUCCUAAGGUAGCGAAAUUCCUUGUCGGGUAAGUUCCGACCUGCACGAAUGGCGUAACGACUUGGGCGCUGUCUCAACCAUGGACUCGGCGAAAUUGCAUUACGAGCAAAGAUGCUCGUUACGCGCAGCAGGACGGAAAGACCCCGGGACCUUUACUACAACUUGGUAUUGGUGGUCGGUACAACUUGUGUAGGAUAGGUGGGAGACUGUGAAAUCCGGACGCCAGUUCGGGUGGAGUCAUCGUUGAAAUACCACUCUGGUUGUUCUGGCUGUCUAACUUCGGUCCAUUAUCUGGAUCAGGGACAGUGCCUGGUGGGUAGUUUGACUGGGGCGGUCGCCUCCUAAAAGGUAACGGAGGCGCUCAAAGGUUCCCUCAGCCUGGUUGGCAAUCAGGUGUCGAGUGUAAGUGCACAAGGGAGCUUGACUGUGAGACAGACAUGUCGAGCAGGGACGAAAGUCGGAACUAGUGAUCCGGCGGUGGCAUGUGGGAGCACCGUCGCUCAACGGAUAAAAGGUACCCCGGUAUAACAGGCUGAUCUUCCCCAAGAGUCCAUAUCGACGGGAUGGUUUGGCACCUCGAUGUCGGCUCGUCGCAUCCUGGGGCUGGAGUAGGUCCCAAGGGUUGGGCUGUUCGCCCAUUAAAGCGGCACGCGAGCUGGGUUUAGAACGUCGUGAGACAGUUCGGUCCCUAUCCGCUGCGCGCGCAGGAGACUUGAGAAGGGCUGCCCCUAGUACGAGAGGACCGGGGUGGACGAACCUCUGGUGUGCCAGUUGUUCCGCCAGGAGCACGGCUGGUUGGCUACGUUCGGGAGUGAUAACCGCUGAAAGCAUCUAAGCGGGAAGCACGCUUCAAGAUGAGGUCUCCCACCGAGUUAAUCGGGUAAGGCCCCCAGUAGACCACUGGGUUGAUAGGCCAGAGGUGGAAGCGCCGUAAGGUGUGGAGCUGACUGGUACUAAUAGGCCGAGGGCUUGUC